AUAUCGCGCCGGGUAAGAACGGAUAACUUUGAUGAUGUUAAUCACGAGAGCCUGCUCUCCGAUAUCA
Molecule: transfer RNA, 67 nt
Filed under: Riftia pachyptila (tube worm)
Lineage: Eukaryota; Metazoa; Annelida; Polychaeta; Sabellida; Siboglinidae
Description: tRNA-Ile
Source: RNAcentral